Suncus etruscus (white-toothed pygmy shrew) is the source of this 487-nucleotide long non-coding RNA. RefSeq lists it as uncharacterized. The record is from RefSeq and is a predicted model, not a curated record. NCBI's taxonomy places the organism in Eukaryota, Metazoa, Chordata, Mammalia, Eulipotyphla, Soricidae. The transcript is spliced from 3 exons.
CAGGUUGUCUCUUGUAGGUGGAGGUUUGUGUGCGGCAGUCCAAGAGGCCUCUUUCUGUGGAGCCAGGUCUACCAUACUCGGACCUAGUGUGGAAGAAGUCACAUGGCCUGAAUGGCUAACUUGUGAUGAGCCAGGAACUGAGAUUCCUCCCCAAGACCCUCGGCCUCAUGGGAUGGAAAAUGGAGAGUGACGUCAUCUCUGAAGGAAUCAUCGGCUCCCUCCCCACUGCCUGCUCCCAGCUUCUGGGGAGGUCAGUGUGGGGACUGACUCAGACUGCAGCCCCAGCACUUUGGCAACUCUUCCCAUAGAGCACCUUACAGAGAAGGCCUUAUGGUUCCCCUCUGCCUGUGCUCGAGAUGACUGGCUAAGAGCUUUGCUCUUGGUUCCCAGUCAGCUGUUCCAACUGCUCAUCCCUUUCCUCAGUAGCCACUGAACCAAUAAAAGAAAAUUCUUCCCUGGGCUACACCUGAUGGUGUUCAGGUUACUC